AAUGAACGUUGGCGGCGUGGAUUAGGCAUGCAAGUCGCGCGAUAAGCGUAGCAAUACGCAGAAAGCGGCGUAAGGGAGAGUAAUACAUGGUUAGCUACCCUCGGGACUGGGAUAGCGGCGGGAAACUGCCGGUAAUACCAGAUGACGUCUUCGGACCAAACGUGUAAACCGGCCCGAGGAGGUGACCAUGUCCUAUCAGCUAGUUGGCGGUGUAACGGACCACCAAGGGCUAAGACGGGUAUGGGGCGUGAGAGCGUGCCCCCACUCACUGGGACUGAGACACUGCCCAGACACCUACGGGAGGCUG
This 307-nucleotide ribosomal RNA is filed under the name uncultured Planctomycetota bacterium. RNAcentral's name for it is "bacterial SSU rRNA". It matches the Rfam family "Bacterial small subunit ribosomal RNA", at positions 29 to 351 of the family's 1533-position model. Lineage: Bacteria; Pseudomonadati; Planctomycetota. The record is from RNAcentral.